This is a long non-coding RNA of Pogoniulus pusillus (Red-fronted tinkerbird), 1178 nucleotides long. RefSeq lists it as uncharacterized. The record is from RefSeq and is a predicted model, not a curated record. NCBI's taxonomy places the organism in Eukaryota, Metazoa, Chordata, Aves, Piciformes, Lybiidae. The transcript is spliced from 3 exons.
CUCAAAAGGAGGGUGCUGCUGCUAGUGCUGAUAAGCUGGGAGUUGAGUUUCUUUGGGACUGUGGCUGUUUCUGCAGGCAGUCCUGCCCAGCUAAAGAGCUCUUCAGUCAAGCAUGAAGGGGUGUAACCAGAUUUGAAGGCUGAAGGCCUACGGUGGAUCUUUAACAGUGCAGGAGUGAACUCUUGAAACAAAUCCCCGUGAGCCACAGUGUGUGUCCUUUUGCCUUCAGUCUUCACUGCAGAGCUGUUUGCCUCUCUUCUAAAGAUUUGGGCAACAACUGGGAAACAACCUGCUGAAAUAUUUGAAAUGCUGCACUCUGCUUUAAAACACUUUCCAUCUCCAGCCUCGCUUAGAUGUCUUAUUACAUCCCUGACCUAUGAUCACAGCAAAGAUGAAACCUGCAACUCUCCUCGCUUCACAAGUGAAAAAGAAAUGAGGCCAGCAAGCUUGGUAACCACUGAAGGACAGAACAUUUGGAUUCUAUCUUGUGACCCCAAGUGCUGCGAAUAUCUGUGGCAUUUAUUGCCUUCAGACCCCUCUGCAAAUGCAUUCCAGAUUUACAUACUUAUUUCCCAGGGUAUUUCUGAGACUAUUACUUUGGUUUUGUUUACUUUCCAUGUGUGGAUUCCUGAAUUAAACAUGUGAAAAAUGCUCCAUCACAGCCAGAACUGCAAAGCUAUUGAGCUGCAGAAGAGCCUUCCUGGAAGGAGCUGCUCCACCAGAGCAACCCUCUGUACUCUGUCCAAGCUUUGCAAACCUGCCUUGGUCAGUGCCCAUCAAGAUCAAAGUCAAUGAUCCUCUCCGUGGUGUCAUAUCACAAUUAGCCACACAGCUGUAAUCAUCUUCGACCCUGAUAAGCCCCUUAGUAGGCAGUUUGCUCUCUGCUGGUGGGAGAUAAGAGAUGCUCACAUGGCUGUGAAAAACAUCCUCUGUUCUACACACACAACCAGUUCCACAGGCAAAGAAUGCUCCAAGCUUGAUGUUCUGCUCUUUCCCACAACCUUUCUCUCCAGUCUGAUUGCACAUUAGGAGCAAUUUGUUUCCUGAAAGAGUGGUCGGGGAUUGGAACAGGCUGCCCAGGGAAGUGGAGUCGCCAUCCCUGGAAAGGUGUUCAAGAAAUGUGGGCAUAGCACUUUGGGACAUGGUUUAGUGGUCACAAUGGUCUUAGGUGGAAGGUU